GGGUUGUGAGGUUAAGCGACUAAGCGUACACGGUGGAUGCCUAGGCAGUCAGAGGCGAUGAAGGGCGUGCUAAUCUGCGAAAAGCGUCGGUAAGGUGAUAUGAACCGUUACAACCGACGAUACCCGAAUGGGGAAACCCAGUGCAAUUCGUUGCACUAUUGCAUGGUGAAUACAUAGCCAUGCAAGGCGAACCGGGGGAACUGAAACAUCUAAGUACCCCGAGGAAAAGAAAUCAACCGAGAUUCCCCUAGUAGCGGCGAGCGAACGGGGAGGAGCCCAGAGUCUGAAUCAGUUUGUGUGUUAGUGGAAGCGUCUGGAAAGUCGCACGGUACAGGGUGAUAGUCCCGUACACAAAAACACACUUGCUGUGAACUCGAUGAGUAGGGCGGGACACGUGACAUCCUGUCUGAAUAUGGGGGGACCAUCCUCCAAGGCUAAAUACUCCUGACUGACCGAUAGUGAACCAGUACCGUGAGGGAAAGGCGAAAAGAACCCCGGCGAGGGGAGUGAAAUAGAACCUGAAACCGUGUACGUACAAGCAGUGGGAGCACCUUCGUGGUGUGACUGCGUACCUUUUGUAUAAUGGGUCAGCGACUUAUAUUUUGUAGCAAGGUUAACCGAAUAGGGGAGCCGUAGGGAAACCGAGUCUUAACUGGGCGUCUAGUUGCAAGGUAUAGACCCGAAACCCGGUGAUCUAGCCAUGGGCAGGUUGAAGGUUGGGUAACACUAACUGGAGGACCGAACCGACUAAUGUUGAAAAAUUAGCGGAUGACUUGUGGCUGGGGGUGAAAGGCCAAUCAAACCGGGAGAUAGCUGGUUCUCCCCGAAAGCUAUUUAGGUAGCGCCUCGUGAACUCAUCUUCGGGGGUAGAGCACUGUUUCGGCUAGGGGGUCAUCCCGACUUACCAAACCGAUGCAAACUCCGAAUACCGAAGAAUGUUAUCACGGGAGACACACGGCGGGUGCUAACGUCCGUCGUGAAGAGGGAAACAACCCAGACCGCCAGCUAAGGUCCCAAAGUCAUGGUUAAGUGGGAAACGAUGUGGGAAGGCAUAGACAGCCAGGAUGUUGGCUUAGAAGCAGCCAUCAUUUAAAGAAAGCGUAAUAGCUCACUGGUCGAGUCGGCCUGCGCGGAAGAUGUAACGGGGCUAAACCAUGCACCGAAGCUGCGGCAGCGACACUUAGGUGUUGUUGGGUAGGGGAGCGUUCUGUAAGCCGUUGAAGGUGACCUGUGAGGGUUGCUGGAGGUAUCAGAAGUGCGAAUGCUGACAUAAGUAACGAUAAUGCGGGUGAAAAACCCGCACGCCGGAAGACCAAGGGUUCCUGUCCAACGUUAAUCGGGGCAGGGUGAGUCGACCCCUAAGGCGAGGCUGAAAAGCGUAGUCGAUGGGAAACAGGUUAAUAUUCCUGUACUUGGUGUUACUGCGAAGGGGGGACGGAGAAGGCUAGGCUAGCCGGGCGACGGUUGUCCCGGUUUAAGCAUGUAGGCGGAGUGACUUGGUAAAUCCGGUUGCUUAUCAACGCUGAGGUGUGAUGACGAGUCACUACGGUGAUGAAGUAGUUGAUGCCAAGCUUCCAGGAAAAGCCUCUAAGCAUCAGGUAACAUUAAAUCGUACCCCAAACCGACACAGGUGGUCAGGUAGAGAAUACUCAGGCGCUUGAGAGAACUCGGGUGAAGGAACUAGGCAAAAUGGUGCCGUAACUUCGGGAGAAGGCACGCUGGCAUUAGGUAAAGAGACUUGCUCUCGGAGCUGAAGCCAGUCGCAGAUACCAGCUGGCUGCAACUGUUUAAUAAAAACACAGCACUGUGCAAACACGAAAGUGGACGUAUACGGUGUGACGCCUGCCCGGUGCUGGAAGGUUAAUUGAUGGGGUCAGCCGCAAGGCGAAGCUCUUGAUCGAAGCCCCAGUAAACGGCGGCCGUAACUAUAACGGUCCUAAGGUAGCGAAAUUCCUUGUCGGGUAAGUUCCGACCUGCACGAAUGGCGUAAUGAUGGCCAGGCUGUCUCCACCCGAGACUCAGUGAAAUUGAACUCGCUGUGAAGAUGCAGUGUACCCGCGGCAAGACGGAAAGACCCCGUGAACCUUUACUAUAGCUUGACACUGAACAUUGAGCCUUGAUGUGUAGGAUAGGUGGGAGGCAUUGAAGUGUGGACGCCAGUCUGCAUGGAGCCAACCUUGAAAUACCACCCUUUAAUGUUUGAUGUUCUAACUCGGCCCCGUAAUCCGGGGUGAGGACAGUGUCUGGUGGGUAGUUUGACUGGGGCGGUCUCCUCCCAAAGAGUAACGGAGGAGCACGAAGGUUAGCUAAUCACGGUCGGACAUCGUGAGGUUAGUGCAAAGGCAUAAGCUAGCUUGACUGCGAGAGUGACGGCUCGAGCAGGUACGAAAGUAGGUCUUAGUGAUCCGGUGGUUCUGAAUGGAAGGGCCAUCGCUCAACGGAUAAAAGGUACUCCGGGGAUAACAGGCUGAUACCGCCCAAGAGUUCAUAUCGACGGCGGUGUUUGGCACCUCGAUGUCGGCUCAUCACAUCCUGGGGCUGAAGUAGGUCCCAAGGGUAUGGCUGUUCGCCAUUUAAAGUGGUACGCGAGCUGGGUUUAGAACGUCGUGAGACAGUUCGGUCCCUAUCUGCCGUGGGCGUUGGAAGAUUGAGAGGGGCUGCUCCUAGUACGAGAGGACCGGAGUGGACGAAUCACUGGUGUUCGGGUUGUCAUGCCAAUGGCAUUGCCCGGUAGCUAAAUUCGGAAGAGAUAACCGCUGAAAGCAUCUAAGCGGGAAACUUGCCUCGAGAUGAGUCUUCCCUGGGGCUUUAAGCCCCCUGAAGGAACGUUAAAGACUAUGACGUUGAUAGGCUGGGUGUGUAAGUGCAGCGAUGCAUUGAGCUAACCAGUACUAAUGAUCCGUGAGGCUUAACCUUACAACACCAAAGGUGUUUUG
This 2936-nucleotide ribosomal RNA is filed under the name Yersinia kristensenii. Its description in RNAcentral is "bacterial LSU rRNA". It matches the Rfam family "Bacterial large subunit ribosomal RNA". The record is from RNAcentral. Lineage: Bacteria; Pseudomonadati; Pseudomonadota; Gammaproteobacteria; Enterobacterales; Yersiniaceae.